CUCCGCUCGCCGCCGCCGCACGCCGCUCGCCGCCAAGACCUUCGCCGUCGCCUUCCCGCCGGAAAAUAAGGCCUUCCGGUGGUUUGAGGCCGCGGAGACCGUCGGAAAAUGUUAAGGAACUGAGGAGAAGCAAGUCGGAGCCAACUCCGGGGAAUCAUUCCGAGGUGUCAAGAUCAUUCCAGGUGAUUCUUGGUUUGGAGUUUAUUGUAAAGUUAUGGUCUUUAGUCUUUACACACUUUGAUAUAGAUUGAAAUAGAUGGAGAAUGAUGAUGAGGA
Non-coding RNA from Erythranthe guttata (spotted monkey flower), 276 nucleotides. NCBI's taxonomy places the organism in Eukaryota, Viridiplantae, Streptophyta, Magnoliopsida, Lamiales, Phrymaceae. The record is from RefSeq and is a predicted model, not a curated record.